CAGUCGCCGCGGUAAUACGUAGGUCCCGAGCGUUGUCCGGAUUUAUUGGGCGUAAAGCGAGCGCAGGCGGUUUGAUAAGUCUGAAGUAAAAGGCUGUGGCUUAACCAUAGUAUGCUUUGGAAACUGUCAAACUUGAGUGCAGAAGGGGAGAGUGGAAUUCCAUGUGUAGCGGUGAAAUGCGUAGAUAUAUGGAGGAACACCGGUGGCGAAAGCGGCUCUCUGGUCUGUAACUGACGCUGAGGCUCGAAAGCGUGGGGAGCAAACAGGAUUAGAUACCCCUGUAGUCCCUGUCUCUUAUACA
RNAcentral lists this ribosomal RNA (301 nucleotides) under uncultured bacterium. Its description in RNAcentral is "partial 16S ribosomal RNA". It matches the Rfam family "Bacterial small subunit ribosomal RNA", at positions 509 to 808 of the family's 1533-position model. The record is from RNAcentral.